This 75-nucleotide antisense RNA is filed under the name Streptomyces avidinii. RNAcentral describes it as "ASpks TB sRNA". It matches the Rfam family "ASpks TB sRNA". The record is from RNAcentral. RNAcentral also lists the same sequence under 1 other name. Lineage: Bacteria; Bacillati; Actinomycetota; Actinomycetes; Kitasatosporales; Streptomycetaceae.
CUUGAUGGAGCCCAGCCACAGCGGCAGGCCCUCGGGGCGGUCCUGCCCGUAGGCGGCGAUGACGGCCUGGGCCUC